AGUGAACGCUGGCGGUAGGCCUAACACAUGCAAGUCGAACGGCAGCACAGUAAGAGCUUGCUCUUACGGGUGGCGAGUGGCGGACGGGUGAGGAAUACAUCGGAAUCUACUUUUUCGUGGGGGAUAACGUAGGGAAACUUACGCUAAUACCGCAUACGACCUACGGGUGAAAGCAGGGGAUCUUCGGACCUUGCGCGAUUGAAUGAGCCGGUGUCGGAUUAGCUAGUUGGCGGGGUAAAGGCCCACCAAGGCGACGAUCCGUAGCUGGUCUGAGAGGAUGAACAGCCACAGUGGAACUGAGACACGGUCCUGACUCCUACGGGAGGCAGCAGUGGGGAAUAUUGGACAAUGGGCGCAAGCCUGAUCCAGCCAUACCGCGUGGGUGAAGAAGGCCUUCGGGUGGUAAAGCCCUUUUGUUGGGAAAGAAAAGCAGCAGGAUAAUACCCCGCUGUUCUGACGGUACCCAAAGAAUAAGCACCGGCUAACUUCGUG
This 492-nucleotide ribosomal RNA is filed under the name uncultured bacterium. Its description in RNAcentral is "partial 16S ribosomal RNA". It matches the Rfam family "Bacterial small subunit ribosomal RNA", at positions 29 to 507 of the family's 1533-position model. The record is from RNAcentral.